RNAcentral lists this ribosomal RNA (1440 nucleotides) under uncultured organism. RNAcentral describes it as "16S ribosomal RNA". It matches the Rfam family "Bacterial small subunit ribosomal RNA". The record is from RNAcentral.
AACGCUGGCGGCGUGCUUAACACAUGCAAGUCGAACGGAAAGGCCCUGCUUUUGUGGGGUGCUCGAGUGGCGAACGGGUGAGUAACACGUGAGUAACCUGCCCUUGACUUUGGGAUAACUUCAGGAAACUGGGGCUAAUACCGGAUAGGAGCUCCUGCUGCAUGGUGGGGGUUGGAAAGUUUCGGCGGUUGGGGAUGGACUCGCGGCUUAUCAGCUUGUUGGUGGGGUAGUGGCUUACCAAGGCUUUGACGGGUAGCCGGCCUGAGAGGGUGACCGGCCACAUUGGGACUGAGAUACGGCCCAGACUCCUACGGGAGGCAGCAGUGGGGAAUAUUGCACAAUGGGCGGAAGCCUGAUGCAGCAACGCCGCGUGCGGGAUGACGGCCUUCGGGUUGUAAACCGCUUUCGCCUGUGACGAAGCGUGAGUGACGGUAAUGGGUAAAGAAGCACCGGCUAACUACGUGCCAGCAGCCGCGGUGAUACGUAGGGUGCGAGCGUUGUCCGGAUUUAUUGGGCGUAAAGGGCUCGUAGGUGGUUGAUCGCGUCGGAAGUGUAAUCUUGGGGCUUAACCCUGAGCGUGCUUUCGAUACGGGUUGACUUGAGGAAGGUAGGGGAGAAUGGAAUUCCUGGUGGAGCGGUGGAAUGCGCAGAUAUCAGGAGGAACACCAGUGGCGAAGGCGGUUCUCUGGGCCUUUCCUGACGCUGAGGAGCGAAAGCGUGGGGAGCGAACAGGCUUAGAUACCCUGGUAGUCCACGCUGUAAACGGUGGGUACUAGGUGUGGGGUCCAUUCCACGGGUUCCGUGCCGUAGCUAACGCUUUAAGUACCCCGCCUGGGGAGUACGGCCGCAAGGCUAAAACUCAAAGGAAUUGACGGGGCCCCGCACAAGCGGCGGAGCAUGCGGAUUAAUUCGAUGCAACGCGUAGAACCUUACCUGGGUUUGACAUGGAUCGGGAGUGCUCAGAGAUGGGUGUGCCUCUUUUGGGGUCGGUUCACAGGUGGUGCAUGGCUGUCGUCAGCUCGUGUCGUGAGAUGUUGGGUUAAGUCCCGCAACGAGCGCAACCCUUGUUCACUGUUGCCAGCACGUUAUGGUGGGGACUCAGUGGAGACCGCCGGGGUCAACUCGGAGGAAGGUGGGGAUGACGUCAAGUCAUCAUGCCCCUUAUGUCCAGGGCUUCACGCAUGCUACAAUGGCUGGUACAGAGAGUGGCGAGCCUGUGAGGGUGAGCGAAUCUCGGAAAGCCGGUCUCAGUUCGGAUUGGGGUCUGCAACUCGACCUCAUGAAGUCGGAGUCGCUAGUAAUCGCAGAUCAGCAACGCUGCGGUGAAUACGUUCCCGGGGCUUGUACACACCGCCCGUCAAGUCAUGAAAGUUGGUAACACCCGAAGCCGGUGGCCUAACCGUUGUGGGGGAGCCGUCGAAGGUGGGACUGGUGAUUAGG